GAUGAACGCUGGCGGCGUGCCUAAUACAUGCAAGUCGAGCGAACAGACGAGGAGCUUGCUCCUCUGACGUUAGCGGCGGACGGGUGAGUAACACGUGGAUAACCUACCUAUAAGACUGGGAUAACUUCGGGAAACCGGAGCUAAUACCGGAUAAUAUAUUCAACCGCAUGGUUCAAUAGUGAAAGACGGUUUUGCUGUCACUUAUAGAUGGAUCCGCGCCGCAUUAGCUAGUUGGUAAGGUAACGGCUUACCAAGGCGACGAUGCGUAGCCGACCUGAGAGGGUGAUCGGCCACACUGGAACUGAGACACGGUCCAGACUCCUACGGGAGGCAGCAGUAGGGAAUCUUCCGCAAUGGGCGAAAGCCUGACGGAGCAACGCCGCGUGAGUGAUGAAGGUCUUCGGGUCGUAAAACUCUGUUAUUAGGGAAGAAAAAAUGUGUAAGUAACUCUGCCCGUCUUGACGGUACCUAAUCAGAAAGCAACGGCUAACUACGUG
Molecule: ribosomal RNA, 497 nt
Filed under: uncultured bacterium
Lineage: Bacteria
Description: partial 16S ribosomal RNA
Rfam family: Bacterial small subunit ribosomal RNA
Source: RNAcentral